CUCCUACGGGAGGCAGCAGUGGGGAAUUUUGCGCAAUGGGGGAAACCCUGACGCAGCAACGCCGCGUGGAGGAUGAAGCCCCUUGGGGCGUAAAGCUCUUUCGACGGGAACGAUAAUGACGGUACCCGAAGAAGAAGCUGCGGCUAACUACGUGCCAGCAGCCGCGGUAAUAC
RNAcentral lists this ribosomal RNA (173 nucleotides) under uncultured bacterium. RNAcentral describes it as "partial 16S ribosomal RNA". It matches the Rfam family "Bacterial small subunit ribosomal RNA", at positions 336 to 526 of the family's 1533-position model. The record is from RNAcentral.